RNAcentral lists this ribosomal RNA (883 nucleotides) under Sporothrix dimorphospora. Its description in RNAcentral is "LSU rRNA". It matches the Rfam family "Eukaryotic large subunit ribosomal RNA", at positions 46 to 960 of the family's 3401-position model. The record is from RNAcentral. Lineage: Eukaryota; Fungi; Ascomycota; Sordariomycetes; Ophiostomatales; Ophiostomataceae.
AUAAGCGGAGGAAAAGAAGACAACAGGGAUUGCCCCAGUAACGGCGAGUGAAGCGGCAACAGCUCAAAUUUGAAAUCUGGCCCCCCGGCCCGAGUUGUAAUUUGGAGAGGAUGCUUUUGGCGCGGCGCCGUCCGAGUUCCUUGGAACAGGACGCCACAGAGGGUGAGAGCCCCGUACGGACGGACGCCUAGCCUCUACAAAGCUCCUUCGACGAGUCGAGUAGUUUGGGAAUGCUGCUCAAAAUGGGAGGUAAAUUUCUUCUAAAGCUAAAUACCGGCCAGAGACCGAUAGCGCACAAGUAGAGUGAUCGAAAGAUGAAAAGCACUUUGAAAAGAGGGUUAAAAAGUACGUGAAAUUGUUGAAAGGGAAGCGCCUGUGACCAGACUUGCGCCCCGCGGACCACCCGGCGUUCUCGCCGGUGCACUCCGCGGGGCGCAGGCCAGCAUCGGUUCUCCUAGGGGGACAAAGGCCGCGGGAACGUAGCUCCUUCGGGAGUGUUAUAGCCCGCGGCGGCAUGCCCCUGGGGGGACCGAGGACCGCGCUUCGGCAAGGAUGCUGGCGUAAUGGUCACCAGCGACCCGUCUUGAAACACGGACCAAGGAGUCAAGCAUUGGGGCGAGUGUAUGGGUGCCAAACCCGCACGCGAAAUGAAAGUAAACGCAGGUGAGAGCUUCGGCGCAUCAUCGACCGAUCCUGAUGUCUUCGGAUGGAUUUGAGUAAGAGCCUUACCGCUUGGACCCGAAAGAUGGUGAACUAUGCCUGAAUAGGGUGAAGCCAGAGGAAACUCUGGUGGAGGCUCGCAGCGGUUCUGACGUGCAAAUCGAUCGUCAAAUUUGGGCAUGGGGGCGAAAGACUAAUCUAACCAUCUAGUAGCUGGUUACCG